UUACGCUUAGUUAAGGUAUGGGCUAUCGGCUUCACCUAAGGCGACGAUCCGUGGCCUGUUCUGAGAGGACGCCCAACGACCACUGGAACUGAGACACGGUUCCAGAACUCCUACUGGGAAGCCAGCAAGUGGGGAAUAUUGCACAAUGGGCGCAAGCCUGAUGCAGCCAUGCCGCGUGUAUGAAGUAGCCUGUCGGGUUGUUAAGUACUUUCAGCGGGGAGGAAGGGAGUUAAGUUAAUACCUUUGCUCAUUGACGUUACCCGCAGAAGAAGCACCGGCGAACGCCGUGCCAGCAGCCGCGGUAAUACGGAGGGUGCAAGCGUUAAUCGGAAUGACUGGGCGUAAAGCGCACGCAGUCGGUUUGUUAAGUCAGGUGUGAAAUCCCCGGGCUCAACCUGGGAACUGCAUCUGAUACUGGCAAGCUUGAGUCUCGUAGAGGGGGGUAGAAUUCCAGGUGUAGCGGUGAAAUGCGUAGAGAUCUGGAGGAAUACCGGUGGCGAAGGCGGCCCCCUGG
Molecule: ribosomal RNA, 514 nt
Filed under: uncultured Gammaproteobacteria bacterium
Lineage: Bacteria; Pseudomonadati; Pseudomonadota; Gammaproteobacteria
Description: bacterial SSU rRNA
Rfam family: Bacterial small subunit ribosomal RNA
Source: RNAcentral